This 525-nucleotide ribosomal RNA is filed under the name uncultured bacterium. Its description in RNAcentral is "bacterial SSU rRNA". It matches the Rfam family "Bacterial small subunit ribosomal RNA", at positions 353 to 896 of the family's 1533-position model. The record is from RNAcentral.
AGUGGGGAAUCCUGGACAAUGGGCGCAAGCCUGAUCCAGCCAUGCCGCGUGAGUGAUGAAGGCCCUAGGGUUGUAAAGCUCUUUCACCGGUGAAGAUAAUGACGGUAGCCGGAGAAGAAGCCCCGGCUAACUCCGUGCCAGCAGCCGCGGUAAUACGGAGGGGGCUAGCGUUGUUCGGAAUUACUGGGCGUAAAGCGCACGUAGGCGGGUAUCCAAGUUGGGGGUGAAAUCCCGGGGCUCAACCCCGGAACUGCCUCCAAAACUGGGUACCUAGAGUCCGAGAGAGGUGAGUGGAAUUCCCAGUGUAGAGGUGAAAUUCGUAGAUAUUGGGAAGAACACCAGUGGCGAAGGCGGCUCACUGGCUCGGUACUGACGCUGAGGUGCGACAGCGUGGGGAGCAAACAGGAUUAGAUACCCUGGUAGUCCACGCCGUAAACGAUGAGAGCUAGUUGUCGGGCAGCAUGCUGUUCGGUGACGCAGCUAACGCAUUAAGCUCUCCGCCUGGGGAGUACGGUCGCAAGAUUA